GUUAAUAUUCCUGGACUUUUUAUAAGUGGUGAAGUGGGGACGAAGAAGGCUAGGUGAGCCAGGCGUUGGUUGUCCUGGUACUUGCAUGUAGGGGGGAAGACUUGGCAAAUCCGGUUUUCCAUAACUCUGAGGUGCGAAGUGGUUCUGACCUUUUGGUACAGAGAAGUCAUUGAUGCCCGGCUUCCAGGAAAAGCUGCUAGCCAUAACUUAUAGAGAACCGUACCGCAAACCGACACAGGUGGACAGGUAGAGAAUACUAAGGCGCUUGAGAGAACUCGGGUGAAGGAACUAGGCAAAAUGGUACCGUAACUUCGGGAGAAGGUACGCCCUUUUGGGUGAGGGCAUUUACUGUCUGAGCUUAAGAGGGCCGCAGAGACCAGGUGGCUGCGACUGUUUAUUAAAAACACAGCACUCUGCAAAUUCGUAAGAAGACGUAUAGGGUGUGACGCCUGCCCGGUGCCGGAAGGUUAAUUGAUGGGGUUAUCUUCGGAGAAGCUCUUGAUCGAAGCCCCGGUAAACGGCGGCCGUAACUAUAACGGUCCUAAGGUAGCGAAAUUCCUUGUCGGGUAAGUUCCGACCUGCACGAAUGGCGUAACGAUGGCCACACUGUCUCCACCCGAGACUCAGUGAAAUUGAAAUCGCUGUGAAGAUGCAGUGUACCCGCGGCUAGACGGAAAGACCCCGUGAACCUUUACUAUAGUUUUGCACUGGACUUUGAUGAUGACUGUGUAGGAUAGGUGGGAGGCUGUGAAGUGAGGACGCUAGUUCUCAUGGAGCCGCCCUUGAAAUACCACCCUGUUGUUAUUGAGGUUCUAACUUGGUCCAGUAAUCCUGGAUGAGGACAGUGUAUGAUGGGUAGUUUGACUGGGGCGGUCUCCUCCCAAAGAGUAACGGAGGAGCACAAAGGUACCCUCGGUACGGUCGGACAUCGUACCAAGAGUGUAAAGGCAAAAGGGUGCUUGACUGCGAGAGUGACGGCUCGAGCAGGAACGAAAGUUGGUCUUAGUGAUCCGGUGGUUCUGAAUGGAAGGGCCAUCGCUCAACGGAUAAAAGGUACUCCGGGGAUAACAGGCUGAUACCGCCCAAGAGUUCAUAUCGACGGCGGUGUUUGGCACCUCGAUGUCGGCUCAUCACAUCCUGGGGCUGAAGCAGGUCCCAAGGGUAUGGCUGUUCGCCAUUUAAAGUGGUACGCGAGCUGGGUUUAGAACGUCGUGAGACAGUUCGGUCCCUAUCUGCCGUGGGCGUAGGAAAAUUGAGAGGAGCUGCUCCUAGUACGAGAGGACCGGAGUGGACGAACCUCUGGUGCACCGGUUGUCACGCCAGUGGCAUGGCCGGGUAGCUAAGUUCGGACGGGAUAACCGCUGAAAGCAUCUAAGCGGGAAGCCUCCCUCAAGAUGAGUUUUCCCAUGAAGCCCGUUGAAGACUACGACGUUGAUAGGCAAGGUGUGGAAGCGCAGUAAUGCGUGAAGCUAACUUGUACUAAUUGGCUGAUUGUCUUGACCAU
This 1504-nucleotide ribosomal RNA is filed under the name Legionella pneumophila. Its description in RNAcentral is "partial 23S ribosomal RNA". It matches the Rfam family "Bacterial large subunit ribosomal RNA", at positions 1429 to 2925 of the family's 2925-position model. Lineage: Bacteria; Pseudomonadati; Pseudomonadota; Gammaproteobacteria; Legionellales; Legionellaceae. The record is from RNAcentral.